UACGUAGGGGCCGAGCGUUGUCCGGAGUUACUGGGCGUAAAGCGUGCGUAGACGGUUCUGUAAGUCGGAUGUGAAAUCCCCGGGCUCAACCUGGGAAUUGCAUUCGAGACUGCAAAGCUUGGGUGCGGAAGAGGGAAGCGGAAUUUCCGGUGUAGCGGUGAAAUGCGUAGAUAUCGGAAGGAACAUCAGUGGCGAAAGCGGCUUCCUGGUCCAGCACCGACGUCAGGCACGAAAGCGUGGGGAGCAAACAGG
This 252-nucleotide ribosomal RNA is filed under the name uncultured bacterium. Its description in RNAcentral is "partial 16S ribosomal RNA". It matches the Rfam family "Bacterial small subunit ribosomal RNA", at positions 524 to 776 of the family's 1533-position model. The record is from RNAcentral.